GUAGUUUGAUCAUGGCUACAGAACAACGCUGGCGGCAGGCCUAACACAUGCAAGUCGAACGCACCGCAAGGUGAGUGGCGCACGGGUGAGUAACACGUGGGAAUGUACCCUUUGGUUCGGAAUAACGUUUGGAAACGAACGCUAAUACCGGAUGAGCCCUGCGGGGGAAAGAUUUAUCGCCAAAGGAGCAGCCCGCGUCUGAUUAGCUAGUUGGUGGGGUAAAGGCCUACCAAGGCGACGAUCAGUAGCUGGUCUGAGAGGAUGAUCAGCCACACUGGGACUGAGACACGGCCCAGACUCCUACGGGAGGCAGCAGUGGGGAAUAUUGGACAAUGGGCGCAAGCCUGAUCCAGCCAUGCCGCGUGAGUGAUGAAGGCCUUCGGGUUGUAAAGCUCUUUCGCACGCGACGAUGAUGACGGUAGCGUGAGAAGAAGCCCCGGCUAACUUCGUG
Molecule: ribosomal RNA, 451 nt
Filed under: uncultured bacterium
Lineage: Bacteria
Description: bacterial SSU rRNA
Rfam family: Bacterial small subunit ribosomal RNA
Source: RNAcentral